This 84-nucleotide small nucleolar RNA is filed under the name Ricinus communis (castor bean). RNAcentral's name for it is "Small nucleolar RNA R16". It matches the Rfam family "Small nucleolar RNA R16". From Rfam's summary of the family: snoR16 is a member of the C/D class of snoRNA which contain the C (UGAUGA) and D (CUGA) box motifs. The record is from Rfam by way of RNAcentral. Lineage: Eukaryota; Viridiplantae; Streptophyta; Magnoliopsida; Malpighiales; Euphorbiaceae.
AGUGGCAUGUGAUGAAUAAGUUCUUAUCCUACACACUGAAUUUGUUGUGUUGACUACUUACUCCGCUUAUUAUCUGAUGCCGUU